RNAcentral lists this ribosomal RNA (30 nucleotides) under Staphylococcus epidermidis MC28. Lineage: Bacteria; Bacillati; Bacillota; Bacilli; Caryophanales; Staphylococcaceae. RNAcentral also lists the same sequence under 1 other name. The record is from RNAcentral.
ACACCUGUUCCCAUGCCGAACACAGAAGUU